Molecule: RNA transcript, 936 nt
Organism: Trachymyrmex septentrionalis
Lineage: Eukaryota; Metazoa; Arthropoda; Insecta; Hymenoptera; Formicidae
Gene: Dlc90F
Gene name: dynein light chain Tctex-type 1
Exons: 4
Source: RefSeq, a predicted model, not a curated record
UGUGACGGUUCGGUAUCAUUGACUACUGCUGUGUACUGCUGUUAUAUUUACAGACGGAUGUCACAGCGAUAUUUUAGAAGAUAAUUCCAAUAAAACGAACGUGACGAGUGUCGAUCAGCUUUGCUAGUGCAAUAUUCUUGCUGUCAAGGUGAAAAAUAAUAGCAGUUUUAGACUUGGAAAAUUAGGACAAUCACGUAUAGACUUUCCGAAUUUUCACGUUAUUGCGACAAAUCAGAUUUUGCGGUAUUUUCAUCUUUCAGCGCUAAACCUAACAAUUAUCCAUAAUUUAAUAUAAUAAGAAUAAUAAGCUUUGAAUUAUUAAGAAAAAUUGCUUUUGGUCUGAAAUAAUCUAGUAUUUGUUCAAGAUGGAGCAAGAUGCGCAAGAAGAGUUGCAAUUUGUGGUAGAUGAUGUGAGCACCAUUAUCAAGGAAGCGAUUGAAGUGUCAAUAGGUGGCAAUACUUAUCAGCAUAAUAAAGUUAAUCAAUGGACUUCGAACGUGGUAGAAGCUUGUUUGGGCAAUCUUACAAAAUUACAGAAGGCUUAUAAAUAUAUUGUGACUUGCACAAUCAUGCAGAAAAACGGAGCUGGACUUCAUACUGCAAGUUCAUGUUACUGGGAUAAUGCUACUGAUGGCAGUUGCACAGUGCGCUGGGAAAAUAAAACCAUGUAUUGUAUUGUAUCUGUUUUUGGAUUGGCUCUAUAAAUUUAUGUCUGCGUAACAAAUUUUGCGUUUGAAAAGAAUUCAAUAUUUUGGCAAUUAUGAGAAAUUGCAGAAAUUAGGGAAAUAGCAGACAGAGUAUGACUGUGCUUAAAAGUUACACAACGCAAUGAUUAAUAUAUGUAAUAUACUAAAAUUGGACAUGUAUACACAAAAUAGAUUGUGCUGAGAUAUAUUUAACUUUCUUAUAUUUAUUUUAACGAAGAAUGAUAUUUUU